AAAAGAAAAGAAAAGAAAAAGCUUAGUCUGAGGACAGCUGACUCAUAAACAGAACCUGAGGAUCUCUCCCCAAGAGCCCCGAGUGCAGUUUCCACUUGGACUUUGCCCCCCCGCCCCCAUUCUCUGCAGCCUAUGGUAGUUCCCAGGAACGAGGCACCCCACAUUGAUGGGGGAAAGCCCAGAGCAGGUGGGAGGAAGAGGGUGUCUGCUCCUUAAAUCACGUGUGACACUCCGCUUAUAGUCCUUGUAAUCUGGCUGAUGUGUGAGUGCUCACGGAUAUGGAGAUGGUCGAGACAGGAACCUGGAGAGCUUGUCCUGCAUGUGACAGAGGAGGGCUGAGCAAGCCCAGCAUGGACUGGGGGAAAUUCAUGGUGAAAAGUGACAGCAUGGCGUCUGAGGCCAAGCUGGCUGCCUUGUCUGGGAGAAGGAAUGAGAACUUCUGUGGGGGCUGCAGGGGAAUCAUCGGGGGCCCAAAGAGCAAGCCACAUUCUCGCCCCUGCAUGGCCCACCUGGAAACUGUCACUCCCCAGGAUAAGCUGCCGGCUCGUGGUGGUUUCCUGAUAAGAAGGGGCUUCGUGCGGACAGCUGCUCACUGUGCAGGAAGGUGAGACAACAGGGGCCUGUUUCUCUCCAAAUGGGAGCCACCAGGGACACCCCAGCAGGGCCUGAGGGAGGCUCCUGGGCCUGGGUCUCUUUAAGGAGAGGCAAGCCUCAAGGAAAAAGAACUCAGCUGAACACAGCCUGACCCUCACUCACUGUGAACUCAGCUCCCCUACAAAGGAAAGGAGCCCCUCUUCUAGAAGUAGCCCCCUCUCCCUGACCGCAACACGUGGGAUGUGGCCUCACUCUUCAGAGUCCUCCCCAGUUCUCUGGGCCACUUCCUCUAGACCCUUUUCAAGGACAUUAAGCUUUAAGUCUCAGGGACCUGAACCCAUCCUCUCCAUGAGAGGCCGGGAACAGGGUCUACUUGAGACUUCACCACUCCCCCCUUUCCUCUGGCACCUCUGGCUCCAGAGAGCUUUGUGCGGUUUUUUGUUCUUUUUAGGGCCACACC
RNAcentral lists this long non-coding RNA (1054 nucleotides) under Sus scrofa (pig). Its description in RNAcentral is "lncRNA (ENSSSCG00035046264.1)". The record is from RNAcentral. Lineage: Eukaryota; Metazoa; Chordata; Mammalia; Artiodactyla; Suidae.